Molecule: long non-coding RNA, 232 nt
Filed under: Elaeis guineensis (African oil palm)
Lineage: Eukaryota; Viridiplantae; Streptophyta; Magnoliopsida; Arecales; Arecaceae
Description: long non-coding RNA (EGUI_LNC035615)
Source: RNAcentral
UAGGCCGUGUCACCUAUUUUAGGUCUGAAUAUACAACAAUAUACUCAAUUGCUAAAUUUUCUUAAUGGUGUGAAACUUCUUCUAGCCUAACUUCGCAUGCCACAGCUUCCACUCAUGAUCAUUUCUCAGAUAAAAUCUCUUCUUCCUUUACUACAUGGAUUGUAGAUAGUGGAGCCUCAAACCAUAUGGUCUCAUCUUCCACCAUUUUAAAUACACAUACUACUAUACCUUU